RNAcentral lists this small RNA (754 nucleotides) under Histoplasma capsulatum var. duboisii H88. Its description in RNAcentral is "Histoplasma capsulatum H88 hypothetical RNA". The record is from RNAcentral. Lineage: Eukaryota; Fungi; Ascomycota; Eurotiomycetes; Onygenales; Ajellomycetaceae.
CGCCGUCCUUUUCUUCCACAAGUCCCUUCUCCUUAGCCUUCCUUGCCAUUCCAUUGUUGGAUGUCCGUCAGUGAGUGGAAUCCGAUCUCAGCCGGUGCUGCGUUAAUUAGGUUAGCUCAACGCUCUUGUUCUCCCAUGCAUAGUUCGAUCGAUAUGGCGGACGAAUAAAUGUUUCUUCCUUUUCCUGCGUAAAGUGAAUAAGAGGAAAUAAAUGAGCACUCACAAUAUUUAUGGAUCUCCGGAGAGCCUUCCUCCACGUCAACUCUAACAUCAAGAUGGACUAUUAUAUCUCUGACAUUGGGGUCGCCAAGCAUGCUAAACACCCCAUGUACAGAUAAGAAAAAGCCUCCCGUAGAAUCGAUGUGGACAUCCGGAAAUACUGCCCGAAGCUGAAAGUUUUGGCCAUCAUCUACAGGCACGAGAGCGGCAGAUAAUUCCACCUCAUAUUCUUCAAGGCCAGAGUCGAUUACAUUCCAAAUAUUCAAUUUUGCUUGACUGGCUCUGAUGUGUUGCCUUACGACCUCUGGAUGCAAGUGAGAAACAACAUCAAAUGUAGCCACGAUGGGCCAGCUCAUGCGUUGACCCGGAGAGGUUCGCAAUGGAGGUUGGAUAUCGAAUCUCAUGUUGACGUCGAAAUAGCGCUGUGUCAUGUUUUCUACGGGGGUUUGCGGGACCUGGAAGAGGACGGUGGAAUAAGUUGAUUUUAGAUAGCGAUUCGAACUUGAUUUGAAUGAAAAUGGGUAACAAUAGGAUU